GAUGAAGAACGUAGCGAAAUGCGAUAAGUAAUGUGAAUUGCAGAACUCAGUGAAUCAUCGAAUCUUUGAACGCACAUUGCGCCCGCCAGUAUUCUGGCGGGCAUGCCUGUUCGAGCGUCAUUUCAACCAUCAAGCCCCGGGCUUGUGUUGGGGACCUGCGGCUGCCGCAGGCCCUGAAAUGCAGUGGCGGGCUCGCUGUCACUCCGAGCGUAGUAGUUACAUCUCGCUCUGGGCGUGCUGCGGGUUCCGGCCGUUAAAAGCCUUAUUUACCCAAGGUUGACCUCGGAUCAGGUAGGAAGACCCGCUGAACUUAAGCAUAUCAAUAAGCGGAGGA
Molecule: unclassified non-coding RNA, 334 nt
Filed under: soil metagenome
Description: partial contains 5.8S ribosomal RNA, internal transcribed spacer 2, and large subunit ribosomal RNA
Rfam family: 5.8S ribosomal RNA (bases 1-120)
Source: RNAcentral